UGUGGGCUCUGCCGACAGCGCGCCGUGAACCCGCCAGGACCGGAAGGUAGCAACGGUGGCGGAAAGCGAGUGUGGCAGGCCCUUUUCC
This 88-nucleotide signal recognition particle RNA is filed under the name Polyangiaceae bacterium. RNAcentral's name for it is "Bacterial small signal recognition particle RNA". It matches the Rfam family "Bacterial small signal recognition particle RNA". From Rfam's summary of the family: The signal recognition particle (SRP) is a universally conserved ribonucleoprotein involved in the co-translational targeting of proteins to membranes. Lineage: Bacteria; Pseudomonadati; Myxococcota; Polyangiales; Polyangiaceae. The record is from Rfam by way of RNAcentral.